Molecule: ribosomal RNA, 253 nt
Filed under: uncultured bacterium
Lineage: Bacteria
Description: partial 16S ribosomal RNA
Rfam family: Bacterial small subunit ribosomal RNA
Source: RNAcentral
GACGAACCGUGCGAACGUUGUUCGGAAUCACUGGGCUUAAAGGGCGCGUAGGCGGGCUCGUUAGUCCAGGGUGAAAGCCCCCGGCUCAACCGGGGAAGCGCCUUGGAUACUGCGGGCCUGGAGGGGGGUAGGGGCGUGCGGAACUUCCGGUGGAGCGGUGAAAUGCGUAGAUAUCGGAAGGAACACCGGUGGCGAAGGCGGCACGCUGGGCCCGCCCUGACGCUGAGGCGCGAAAGCGUGGGGAGCGAACAGG